AGAUUGCAAGGACAAGGCCUUCAAUUGCCAAGGCCAUCUGAAAAAAUACUGCAAAACCAGCUGGAACAUUAAGUACACUUGGUGCCGCAAAACCUGUGGAGCGUGUGAGGAAGGAGAUUGUAAAGACCGAGUUAACAACUGCUUCCGCUUGCAAAAGUUCUGCAAUCGAGCAGCUGUAGCAAUCAUGUGCCAAAGAACCUGUAAAGUCUGUAAGUGCCAUAACUAGCCAUAAUAAGCGGGUAGUUCUUUGGGGUGCACGUGACGUCAUAGAUGAGUGCAUGUGACGUCAUAGACGAGUGCAUGUGACACCAAAGAUGAGUGCAC
This is a long non-coding RNA of Actinia tenebrosa (Australian red waratah sea anemone), 324 nucleotides long. Lineage: Eukaryota; Metazoa; Cnidaria; Anthozoa; Actiniaria; Actiniidae. The record is from RefSeq and is a predicted model, not a curated record.